Molecule: ribosomal RNA, 448 nt
Filed under: uncultured bacterium
Lineage: Bacteria
Description: bacterial SSU rRNA
Rfam family: Bacterial small subunit ribosomal RNA
Source: RNAcentral
UGGGGAAUAUUGGACAAUGGGCGCAAGCCUGAUCCAGCCAUGCCGCGUGAGUGACGAAGGUCUUCGGAUUGUAAAGCUCUUUUUGGCGGGGACGAUAAUGACGGUACCCGCAGAAUAAGCCCCGGCUAACUUCGUGCCAGCAGCCGCGGUAAUACGAAGGGGGCUAGCGUUAUUCGGAAUCACUGGGCGUAAAGCGCACGUAGGCGGAUGUGCCAGUCAGGGGUGAAAUCCCGGAGCUCAACUUCGGAACUGCCUCUGAUACAGCACGUCUUGAGUCCGAUAGAGGUGGGUGGAACUGCGAGUGUAGAGGUGAAAUUCGUAGAUAUUCGCAAGAACACCAGUGGCGAAGGCGGCUCACUGGCUCGGUACUGACGCUGAGGUGCGAAAGCGUGGGGAGCAAACAGGAUUAGAUACCCACGUAGUCCCUGAGCGGGCUGGCAAGGCGCAU